GUAGAGCUUCACUGUAAUUGUCUGUAAGCAUGAGAAGACUCAUCUCUUCUCUGUCUCUCUCUACCAGAAAACCCCAUUUUUUACUUCUGUAUCACCUUCACCACACACAAACAAAGCCCACGCAGAGCUCCCCCAUAGCCCAUUUGAAUCCGAGCCCAAUAGACCCAUUAAACUAUCUCCUCACUUUCAUCCCCCAAAUCAAAGCUCUCUCAGAAAACCCAAGAAACAAGAAUGCUCUCACUUCACUAGACUCACUUUUGGGCCAAGCCCAUUUCUUGGAUUCUGCUGCCUCACUGAUUGUGAUUCAGUAUUUGUGUGAAAUUAAGAAGCUUGGGAGGGCUAAAGAUGUGUUCUUGAAGCUCAAGAGUGAGGGUAAGCUUAAAGAUUGCAUUUUGUUUAGUUUAGUGUAUGAUUGUUUGGUUGCUAAUAGUGGAAUUCAUGAUGUUGAGGUUGUGUGGAAUGAGCUUUGUGGGAAUGAUUUAAAGAUUGAUGUUUGUGAUUAUGUUGUUUAUGUGUGUAAGUUUUGUGGGCGUGAGGAAAUUAAGGGUAUUUUCGAGAGGGUUGUGAUGGGAGGGAGGGUUUUGAGGAGGGAAAGCUAUGGCGCAUUGAUUGGUGCUUUGUGUAGGGAGAAUGAGGGGGAGUUGGGGAAAGAGGUUAUGAGGGUGAUGGGUGGUUUGGGGAUUGAAGUUGAUUGUUUUAGUUAUUAUGUUUUGUUUCGGUGUUUUUGUCGGAAUGGGAAUGUGGAUGAAGCUGAUUGGGUUUUGAGGGAAUUGGUGAAGAGGGAAUUUUAUAUUGAUAUAUGUGUGUAUGGGAAUUUUUUGUAUGGUCUUUGUAAAACGGGAAAAUUUAGGGAGGCGAAGAAGUUGUUUCUUAGGUUGACGAAGCAGGAUGGUGUGGGAGGGUAUAAGAAUGUGGAUUUUUUGAAGGAGGGAAGAAGGGUGAUCUUUCAGUUAAAGUGUGAGGAUAAUGUUCCGAAUAUAUUGGCUUAUGAAUCAUAUUUUCGUUCUUUAUGUGAUAUAGGGAGGCUUGAUGAGGCUGAAGUGUUGUUGAAAAAGAUGAUGAAUAGUAGAAUUGUGCCCGAGAUAUGUGUGUAUGGUUCGUUUAUAAAGGCUCUUUUUGCUGCUGAUCGAGAUAAAGAUGCAAUAAGAUUUCUUCAAGUUGAGAAGAAGAAAGGUCUAGUUAAAGUUGAUGAGAUUGCGAGUUAUGUCAUUAAGGGUUUGUGUCAGAAGAGGAAACUUGAUGAGGCUGUGAGAAUCUUUGACGAAACUUCUGUGCUCGGGGAAUUUCUUAAUCGUACAAAUAUUUGUAAUUGUAUACUAGGUAAUUACUGGAAAGAAGGUAGAUCGGCGGAGGCAGAGAACUUGUUUAGAAGGUUGAAGGAAGGUAACUACGGAUUGCGUGAUGCAUCGACAUACGAAGUCAUGAUUAAUGGAUAUUGCAACCAAAGUAAUGGUGUAAAGGCACUCCUCUUAUUUCAAGAAAUGGUGGAUAGGAAAAUCAUUAUUAGCUGUGCACUAUAUGAGGUAAUAAUUAGAGCCUUGUGUUCAUGUGGAAGUCUAAGGGAAGCACUUAAAUAUUUGAAUGAUAUGGUUGAAAGUGGAAACAUGGUAUAUAGCAGGAGAUGGAAGAUAUUUAUUAGCUCAACAUUUGCUGCAUUGGAACAUGGUAUUUCCAGUGACUUUUGAAGUAUUCACUUGAUUAGAAUAAUGACAUAUAUGUUCCCUCACAUUGCCUGUCUGGAUUUUCCGUGUGAUCUUAGUAAGGUUAAACGACACUGAAACUCUUAUUAUUAAAGCAUCUACAGAAACUACCAACAACAAAGUAUCUGCAGGAACUCCUAAUGCCAAAGAAACCGGAGGAACUCCUAAUACGAACACAUCUAAUGUGACUCCUAACAGCGAAGGAUCACUAACAACUUGCCAGUAGAGUUAUUCCACCUCAUCAACUUCGUCAGUCUGCUAUUACCUAAAGUUGACAAAUCAUCCCAACAUGAAGAAUCUUCCAUGGACAUACCAAAGUCUAGACACCAGUUGAAAAUUGCUUAUGAUUUGCUCAAUUCAGAUUUAGCAACUUUUCUUGAAAAUUCCUGCUGAAACCAGACCGGAUUUUCUAUGACUCUGGCGCAAUGGGUACCUUCUCUAACAGCUGGCCUUGGCAUUUCAAGUUGUUAUUUGUGUCUUUUAGUGCGGCUUGCAUGGCUUUCUUGGGUGCACCAUCAUUUUUAAUGAGUAAGAUUGAUGGUAGAUUGACCGUUUAUGACUCCACCGUGAUGCCGAAGUGGGUGAUAUUUCCAUUCAGCAUCGCGUAUCACCUGCAUUGGCGGCUCUGACACGCCUGAGCCAGUUAGAUCCGGUGCUUCUAUUGGCGGCUCUGACAUGGUUUCGGUCAGAGCUUGAGCCCGAAUGGUUUAAUCUUGUUCACGAGCCUUGUCAAAAACCUGUUGUUCCUGUAGGCUUGUUGCCUCGAUCAGCAUUUGACCGAUAAUAAUACAUAAUGUAUUAUCAUAUUGAAAUAAUGUAUUUUAUUGGAUAACAAGUUAAAAUAAUGAUUAUAUGUCCCUUUUUUUU
Daucus carota subsp. sativus is the source of this 2567-nucleotide RNA transcript. It is a transcript of the gene named putative pentatricopeptide repeat-containing protein At1g12700, mitochondrial, with no coding region annotated. The record is from RefSeq and is a predicted model, not a curated record. The transcript is spliced from 2 exons. NCBI's taxonomy places the organism in Eukaryota, Viridiplantae, Streptophyta, Magnoliopsida, Apiales, Apiaceae.